This 497-nucleotide ribosomal RNA is filed under the name uncultured bacterium. Its description in RNAcentral is "partial 16S ribosomal RNA". It matches the Rfam family "Bacterial small subunit ribosomal RNA", at positions 28 to 507 of the family's 1533-position model. The record is from RNAcentral.
GAUGAACGCUGGCGGCGUGCCUAAUACAUGCAAGUCGAGCGAACAGAUGAGGAGCUUGCUCCUCUGACGUUAGCGGCGGACGGGUGAGUAACACGUGGAUAACCUACCUAUAAGACUGGGAUAACUUCGGGAAACCGGAGCUAAUACCGGAUAAUAUAUUGAACCGCAUGGUUCAAUAGUGAAAAACGGUUUUGCUGUCACUUAUAGAUGGAUCCGCGCCGCAUUAGCUAGUUGGUAAGGUAACGGCUUACCAAGGCAACGAUGCGUAGCCGACCUGAGAGGAUGAUCGGCCACACUGGAACUGAGACACGGUCCAGACUCCUACGGGAGGCAGCAGUAGGGAAUCUUCCGCAAUGGGCGAAAGCCUGACGGAGCAACGCCGCGUGAGUGAUGAAGGUCUUCGGAUCGUAAAACUCUGUUAUUAGGGAAGAACAAAUGUGUAAGUAACUAUGCACGUCUUGACGGUACCUAAUCAGAAAGCAACGGCUAACUACGUG